AAGCUCAGGGACUUCUAGGUUCACGGGGGCGGGGUGCCUCCUACUGUGCCGGCGGCUGUGGGUGAGGCAGGGCGAGGCGGGCCCGACUUGGGGCCAAUUUCACUUGUACUUGUCUGGGUUGUGGGCCCAGCACCCGUGCCCGCUCCUCUGGUGCCCUAGGUCAAGGCGUCCCCCACAUAGUCAGCUUUCCUGGCCCUGUCCCCACCCCGUGAGAAGCGUGGGCCCACGCAGUGGCGUCCAGGUGAGGAGCUGAGGCACCUCUUUCUUCUUUUUGAGGAGAACAUUCCCUGCCCCUGUGGAGUUGUCUUUCCGUUCCUCAAGCAACAGAGACAUGACAGCAUCUAGAGUUGCCAGGCCUGGAGUCUGGAGAAGAAACUAGGACCCUGUACCACCUUUUGAGGACUCUGCGGAACAUGGAAUGCCUGGGUGGUCUUCUGGGCCCCUGCGUACUAAAUAAUAAUAAUAGUUUCUCACCUUUGGACAAGAUUUGAAUACUUUUAAUUCUUCAUAACAUUAUUUGAUUCAUGUAAUCGUAGGAAUGAGAUGGUUUUUCUUAUCUGAUAGGUCAUGAAACUGGUAGAAAGUAGGUGAAAGUUCUGGUUCAGAGUGUCAUCGAAGUGCUGUGACAGAAGCAUGAGCCCUACCACCUCUCAGUUCUUGUUUAUGUCACUUUGCCCUCACAGAACUUUCUGAACCCUGGUGCUAUCAUUUCUGUUUGUCAGAAUGCAGAACGGGUGUUUUGAGCUCAAAAAUUGCUUGUCAAAUAUGGGAGGAUAGGGAGACCAGUUUGACCUUGACUUUCCUGUUAGGAGCUAUCUAGAAAGCUGACUGUGACUGCCAGAUGGUUUUUUCACUCCUAACUUGACAGCCCUGGGAAGGUGUUAUAAUCAAAGGUUCAAUGUCAAAUGUGUACUUUGUUAAUAAAAAUAAAGCGAGCAAGCCUCUGUAGACAUUCUC
Sapajus apella (tufted capuchin) is the source of this 957-nucleotide long non-coding RNA. RefSeq lists it as uncharacterized. The transcript has 2 exons. The record is from RefSeq and is a predicted model, not a curated record. NCBI's taxonomy places the organism in Eukaryota, Metazoa, Chordata, Mammalia, Primates, Cebidae.